This 425-nucleotide ribosomal RNA is filed under the name uncultured bacterium. Its description in RNAcentral is "partial 16S ribosomal RNA". It matches the Rfam family "Bacterial small subunit ribosomal RNA", at positions 354 to 796 of the family's 1533-position model. The record is from RNAcentral.
GUGGGGAAUCUUGCGCAAUGGGCGAAAGACUGACGCAGCCAUGCCGCGUGAAUGAUGAAGGUCUUAGGAUUGUAAAAUUCUUUCACCGGGGACGAUAAUGACGGUACCCGGAGAAGAAGCUCCGGCGAACUUCGUGCCAGCAGCCGCGGUAAUACGAAGGGGGCUAGCGUUGCCCGGAAGGACUGGGCGUAAAGGGCGCGUAGGCGGACAGCUUAGUCAGAGGUGAAAGCCCAGGGCUCAACCUUGGAAUUGCCUUUGAUACUGGCUGUCUUGAGUUUGGGAGAGGUGAGUGGAACUCCGAGUGUAGAGGUGAAAUUUGUAGAUAUUCGGAAGAACACCAGUGGCGAAGGCGACUCACUGUCCCAAUUCUGACGCUGACGCUCGAACCCCUGGGGAGCAAACAGGAUUAGAUACCCCUGUAGUCC